CCCUUAGAUGGUCUGGGCGGCACGCGCGCUACAAUGAUGCAUUCAAAAAGUCUUCUGACCUUAGAAGGUUGGGUAUUCUCCAAAGUGCAUCGUGAUGGGAAUAGUUUAUUGCAAUUUUUAAUCUUGAACGAGGAAUUCCUAGUAAGUACAGGUCAUCAACUUGUGUUGAUUACGUCCCUGCCCUUUGUACACACCGCCCGUCGCUCCUACUGAUUGAGUGUCUCGGUGAAUUCUUUGAUCUUCUGUCGAUUCAGUUCACCGAUCCGACGGUGGAAAGUUGAAUGAACUUCGUCACUUAGAGGAAGGAGAAGUCGUAACA
Molecule: ribosomal RNA, 319 nt
Filed under: uncultured eukaryote
Lineage: Eukaryota
Description: partial 18S ribosomal RNA
Rfam family: Eukaryotic small subunit ribosomal RNA
Source: RNAcentral